This 837-nucleotide ribosomal RNA is filed under the name uncultured Gemmatimonas sp. Its description in RNAcentral is "bacterial SSU rRNA". It matches the Rfam family "Bacterial small subunit ribosomal RNA", at positions 8 to 856 of the family's 1533-position model. The record is from RNAcentral. Lineage: Bacteria; Pseudomonadati; Gemmatimonadota; Gemmatimonadia; Gemmatimonadales; Gemmatimonadaceae.
AGAGUUUGAUCCUGGCUCAGGACGAACGCUGGCGGCGUGCUUAACACAUGCAAGUCUAGGGGGCCCGCAAGGGUCACCGGCGAACGGGUGCGUAACACGUGAGCGACCUACCCUGGAAUGGGGGAUAGCCGGCCCAACGGCCGGGUAAUACCGCAUACGCUCUUCGAGCUUCAUGGCUUGGAGAGGAAACCUUUUGGGUUCAAGGAGGGGCUCGCGGCCUAUCAGCUAGUUGGUGAGGUAACGGCUCACCAAGGCUAUGACGGGUAGCUGGUCUGAGAGGAUGGCCAGCCACAUUGGGACUGAGAAACGGCCCAGACUCCUACGGGAGGCAGCAGUGGGGAAUAUUGCGCAAUGGUCGAAAGACUGACGCAGCGACGCCGCGUGGAGGAUGACGCCCUUCGGGGUGUAAACUCCUGUUGCUCGGGACGAACCUCUCCUUUCGAGGAGACUGACGGUACCGAGUGAGGAAGCACCGGCUAACUCUGUGCCAGCAGCCGCGGUAAUACAGAGGGUGCGAGCGUUGUCCGGAAUCACUGGGCGUAAAGGGCGCGUAGGCGGCUUGGUAAGCGUGCGGUGAAAGCUCAGGGCUCAACCCUGAGUCUGCCGUGCGAACUGCCGAGCUGGAGCACGGUAGAGGCACAUGGAAUUCCGGGUGUAGCGGUGGAAUGCGUAGAGAUCCGGAAGAACACCGGUGGCGAAGGCGGUGUGCUGGGCCGUUGCUGACGCUGAGGCGCGACAGCGUGGGGAGCAAACAGGAUUAGAUACCCUGGUAGUCCACGCCGUAAACGAUGGGCACUAGGCCCUUGGGGGAGCGACCCCCUGAGGACCGGCGCAAAC